CUUACUCACGUAUUAUAAUUGCAGGAGGGCCUUGAGCAGAGCGUUUCUGAAACUUUCAGAUUUAGAGCCUGAAAAUAAUUUGGUACUUUUGGGCUAGCUCAAGGCUGGUUAUUGAAGCUUCUUUCCCCUUCCAGGCCUAUCCACUUGUAGGACCCAGAGGUUACUUUUCAUUGGCUACCUGCAGGACCAAAAAUCUUAGACAGGGGGUGCUCCCCUGCUCCGAUCACCUGUGGGUGCUCCAAUUCUAGAGGUGGCCCACUAAAUGUUGACCUUUGAACUUCUAACCUGCUUUGGCGGGUGCUCCAGGAUCCCAAUGGUACCUGCACUGAAGGAGAUUUCAGACUAGUCAGAGGAAGCAACGAUUUUGAGGGUCGUGUGGAGGUUUGCAGCGGCACUGGAGAGUGGAGCACUGUCUGUGACGAUUUAUGGAGUGACAAUGAUGCAAUCAUUGUCUGCCGACAGCUUGGAUUCAUGAUGCAACUGCUUUCAGUUUCGCCUUCUUUGGUCAGGGGACAGGAGAAAUUCUCAUUGAUGAUGUCCAAUGUGUUGGCACGGAGACUCGACUACUCGACUGUGACCUAACACAGAUACACAACUGUCGUCAUACUGAAGACGCUGGUGUUUCAUGCUCUAUGGAUACAGCU
Long non-coding RNA from Halichondria panicea, 644 nucleotides. RefSeq lists it as uncharacterized. The transcript has 3 exons. Lineage: Eukaryota; Metazoa; Porifera; Demospongiae; Suberitida; Halichondriidae. The record is from RefSeq and is a predicted model, not a curated record.